CAGCAGCCGCGGCAAGACGAACCGUGCGAACGUUAUUCGGAAUUACUGGGCUUAAAGCGCGUGUAGGCGGGUCGGCACGUCGGUCGCUGAAAUCCCCCGGCUCAACCGGGGAAGUGGCGCCGAUACGGCCGGCCUGGAGGGGGGUAGGGGGGCCUGGAACUUCCGGUGGAGCGGUGAAAUGCGUUGAGAUCGGAAGGAACGCCCGUGGCGAAAGCGAGGCCCUGGACCCUUUCUGACGCUGAGACGCGAAAGCCAGGGGAGCGAACGGGAUUAGAUACCCCUGUAGUCCCUGUCUCUUAUU
This 301-nucleotide ribosomal RNA is filed under the name uncultured bacterium. Its description in RNAcentral is "partial 16S ribosomal RNA". It matches the Rfam family "Bacterial small subunit ribosomal RNA", at positions 509 to 807 of the family's 1533-position model. The record is from RNAcentral.